GAUGAACGCUAGCGGGAGGCCUAACACAUGCAAGCCGAGCGGUAUUGUUUCUUCGGAAAUGAGAGAGCGGCGUACGGGUGCGGAACACGUGUGCAACCUGCCUUUAUCUGGGGGAUAGCCUUUCGAAAGGAAGAUUAAUACUCCAUAACAUAUUGAUUGGCAUCAAUUAAUAUUGAAAGCUCCGGCGGAUAGAGAUGGGCACGCGCAAGAUUAGCUAGUUGGUGAGGUAACGGCUCACCAAGGCGAUGAUCUUUAGGGGGCCUGAGAGGGUGAUCCCCCACACUGGUACUGAGACACGGACCAGACUCCUACGGGAGGCAGCAGCGAGGAAUAUUGGUCAAUGGGUGCAAGCCUGAACCAGCCAUCCCGCGUGAAGGACGACUGCCCUAUGGGUUGUAAACUUCUUUUGUAUAGGGAUAAACCUACCCUCGUGAGGGUAGCUGAAGGUACUAUACGAAUAAGCACCGGCUAACUCCGUGCCAGCAGCCGCGGUAAUACGGAGGGUGCAAGCGUUAUCCGGAUUUAUUGGGUUUAAAGGGUCCGUAGGCGGACUUAUAAGUCAGUGGUGAAAGCCUGUCGCUUAACGAUAGAACUGCCAUUGAUACUGUAAGUCUUGAGUAUAUUUGAGGUAGCUGGAAUAAGUAGUGUAGCGGUGAAAUGCAUAGAUAUUACUUAGAACACCAAUUGCGAAGGCAGGUUACUAAGAUAUAACUGACGCUGAGGGACAAAAGCGUGGGGAGCGAACAGGAUUAGAUACCCUGGUAGUCCACGCCGUAAACGAUGCUAACUCGUUUUUGGGCUUUAGGGUUCAGAGACCAAGCGAAAGUGAUAAGUUAGCCACCUGGGGAGUACGCUCGCAAGAGUGAAACUCAAAGGAAUUGACGGGGGCCCGCACAAGCGGUGGAUUAUGUGGUUUAAUUCGAUGAUACGCGAGGAACCUUACCAAGACUUAAAUGGGAAUUGACAGCUUUAGAAAUAGAGCUUUCUUCGGACAAUUUUCAAGGUGCUGCAUGGUUGUCGUCAGCUCGUGCCGUGAGGUGUUAGGUUAAGUCCUGCAACGAGCGCAACCCCUGUCACUAGUUGCCAUCAUUCAGUUGGGGACUCUAGUGAGACUGCCUACGCAAGUAGAGAGGAAGGUGGGGAUGACGUCAAAUCAUCACGGCCCUUACGUCUUGGGCCACACACGUAAUACAAUGGCCGGUACAGAGGGCAGCUACACAGCGAUGUGAUGCAAAUCUCGAAAGCCGGUCUCAGUUCGGAUUGGAGUCUGCAACUCGACUCUAUGAAGCUGGAAUCGCUAGUAAUCGCGCAUCAGCCAUGGCGCGGUGAAUACGUUCCCGGGCCU
This 1345-nucleotide ribosomal RNA is filed under the name uncultured bacterium. RNAcentral's name for it is "bacterial SSU rRNA". It matches the Rfam family "Bacterial small subunit ribosomal RNA", at positions 28 to 1381 of the family's 1533-position model. The record is from RNAcentral.